This 404-nucleotide ribosomal RNA is filed under the name Verrucomicrobiota bacterium. Its description in RNAcentral is "Verrucomicrobia bacterium partial 16S ribosomal RNA". It matches the Rfam family "Bacterial small subunit ribosomal RNA", at positions 355 to 776 of the family's 1533-position model. The record is from RNAcentral. Lineage: Bacteria; Pseudomonadati; Verrucomicrobiota.
UGGGGAAUAUUGGACAAUGGGCGCAAGCCUGAUCCAGCCAUGCCGCGUGAGUGAUGAAGGCCCUAGGGUUGUAAAGCUCUUUCACCGGUGAAGAUAAUGACGGUAACCGGAGAAGAAGCCCCGGCUAACUUCGUGCCAGCAGCCGCGGUAAUACGAAGGGGGCUAGCGUUGUUCGGAUUUACUGGGCGUAAAGCGCACGUAGGCGGACUUUUAAGUCAGGGGUGAAAUCCCGGGGCUCAACCCCGGAACUGCCUUUGAUACUGGGUGUCUUGAGUAUGAGAGAGGUGUGUGGAACUCCGAGUGUAGAGGUGAAAUUCGUAGAUAUUCGGAAGAACACCAGUGGCGAAGGCGACACACUGGCUCAUUACUGACGCUGAGGCUCGAAAGCGUGGGGAGCAAACAGG